Molecule: RNA transcript, 1251 nt
Organism: Tupaia belangeri chinensis (Chinese tree shrew)
Lineage: Eukaryota; Metazoa; Chordata; Mammalia; Scandentia; Tupaiidae
Gene name: serine protease 52-like
Exons: 7
Source: RefSeq, a predicted model, not a curated record
GGCAGGAGGGGCUGUGAAUCAGCAGGCACAGAGAGUGAAACCUUGCCCUUCAUCCCUCUGCCCAACCUGGAGCCUCUCCAUCGCUGAUGUAAAGACCAGAGCCGAUGAAAGGAUGGAAGGAUGGAAGAGCAGCACUUCUGCUGUGGGUCAUCCUGCUGCUGCCCUGGGCACGUGGCUCUAGGACACCAAUAUGUGACCAAAGACCAGAUGGUUACUAUGGAAAGCAAGCACUUUCUGAGAUCACAGGUGGGGAACCUGCAGACAUUGCAGAUUUUCCGUGGCAGGUGAGUAUUCACCAGGGAGAGGAGCAUCUCUGUGGAGGCUCUAUAAUCAAUAAGUGGUGGAUUCUGACUGCAUCACACUGCUUCAUAAGAGGACAAAGUCACUGACAUAAAGAGAUGGACAAACUGCUGGGUAACUGGAUGGGGCACUAACCAGCCUACGGGUUUACAAAGUUCCCCUUCAGUGCUGCAAAAAGUUGACCUUGAUCUGGUUGAUUGGGAUAUGUGCUCUAAGUCUUUGCCUACAAUCACCGCCAACAUGCUGUGUGCUGCAAAGGAUGGAAAGGACUCCUGCCAGGACAGCUUCAAGAGAAAAAAUUUUGGACACAGAUUCUUAAAAGAGGACAAGGAAAAGCAAGAUACUCAGAGGCAGUGCGAGCUUGAAAGGAAGCAGCGGAGGGUGGACGCUGUCACGCACUGGAGUAGGAGUGAAAGGCUUAGCAUUGAACUCUGCCCUUGUCUGCAUUACGCUGCGCAAGUCACUUAGUUCUCUUGACCUCUUGACCCUGAAAUUUGAAAUAAGGCACCAUUGGAUUAGAUAUUCCGGAAGAGAAGUGUGGUUUCCUGGCUGCUGUAUACUCAUCUGGAAUUCUGAAUCUUCCUUCACCCUCUGAACAUGAAUAAAGAAAACUGAGGGUCCUGAAACUGGAUAAUAAGGACACAUAUCCUGAUCAAGGCCCAAAUAGGUCAAAGCAAACCAGCCAGCUCCCUAACAGGGAUUAGAAAUGAGCCUGAGGGCCCACUGCAGUGGGGAGUGGAGCUGAGAUACUGUGCUCCAUGGACUGGGACCACAUGGGAAGAUUAUGAGCUCGAGGCUGGCCUGGGGAACAGAGCAAGACUGAAAAAAAGCUGGGCGUGGUGGCACAGGUCUGUCAUCUCAGCUGCAAAGCUGAAGCAGAAGAAUCACGAUAUGAAGAAACUCUGCCUUAAAAAAAAAAAAAAAAAGAAUAAAGAGAACCAGAAGGUUGUG